AACGAACGCUGGCGGCAUGCCUAACACAUGCAAGUCGAACGAUAACUUCGGGUCUGGUGGCGCACGGGUGCGUAACGCGUGGGAACCUGCCCUUAGGCUCGGCAUAACUCUCCGAUAGGGGUACUAAACCCGGGUAAUGUCUUGGGACCAAGGAUUUAUCGACUUUGGGUGGGCCCGAGUUGGAUUGGCUAGUGGGUAGGGUAAAAGCCUACCAAGGGGAGGAUCCAUAGCUGGCGGGAGAGGACGAUCAGCCACACGGGAACUGAGACACGGCCCAGAGUCAGGCGGGAGGCAGGAGUGGGGAACAAUGGACGAUGGGCGGAAGCAUGAUCCAGCAGUGCCGGGUGAGGGAUGAAGGGUUGAAAGUCGUAAAGAUCUGUGACGCGGCAUGAUGAUGACAGAACCGGAGGAAUAAGCCCCGGCUAAUUCCGG
This 432-nucleotide ribosomal RNA is filed under the name uncultured bacterium. Its description in RNAcentral is "partial 16S ribosomal RNA". It matches the Rfam family "Bacterial small subunit ribosomal RNA", at positions 29 to 506 of the family's 1533-position model. The record is from RNAcentral.